This 360-nucleotide ribosomal RNA is filed under the name uncultured bacterium. RNAcentral describes it as "partial 16S ribosomal RNA". It matches the Rfam family "Bacterial small subunit ribosomal RNA", at positions 338 to 715 of the family's 1533-position model. The record is from RNAcentral.
CCUACGGGAGGCAGCAGUAGGGAAUAUUGCUCAAUGGGGGAAACCCUGAAGCAGCAACGCCGCGUGGAGGAUGAAGGUUUUCGGAUUGUAAACUCCUUUUGUUAGAGAAGAUAAUGACGGUAGCUAACGAAUAAGCACCGGCUAACGCCGGGCCAGCAGCCGCGGUAAUACGGAGGGGGCAAGCGUUACUCGGAAUCACUGGGCGUAAAGAGAGCGUAGGCGGGAUAGCAAGUCAGAUGUGAAAUCCUAUGGCUUAACCCUAGAACUGCAUUUGAAACUGUUAUUCUAGAGUAUGGGAGAGGUAGGUGGAAUUCUUUGUGUAGGGGUCAACUCCGUAGAGAUCACGCGGACUACUCAUUG